Molecule: non-coding RNA, 249 nt
Filed under: Subdoligranulum sp.
Lineage: Bacteria; Bacillati; Bacillota; Clostridia; Eubacteriales; Oscillospiraceae
Description: T-box sequence
Rfam family: T-box leader
About the family: Uncharged tRNA acts as the effector for transcription antitermination of genes in the T-box leader family. T-boxes are found upstream of many aminoacyl-tRNA synthetase genes and some amino acid biosynthetic genes usually in Gram-positive bacteria. The anticodon of a specific tRNA base pairs to a specifier sequence within the T-box motif, and the NCCA acceptor tail of the tRNA base pairs to a conserved bulge in the T-box antiterminator hairpin.
Source: RNAcentral
CCAAAUGCAGUGAAGGGGAGAAAGCAGCACUCAUCCCAUUUCAGAGAGCCGCCGGACGGUGCAAGGCGGUAUGGUAGGCGCUGUAUACUGGCCCCGGAGCAGCCGCGCUGACAGGUAGGCGCGGACGGAACCUGACCGUUAUCAUGCAGGCGCGAUUCGCCCACGGGCUGAUCGUACAGAGCGGCUGUUUUACAGCAAUGAGAGUGGUACCGCGGGUACAGCAACGUUGAUCUUGCUCCCGUCUCUCAA